UGGGACGCGCCCACGACCUGUACGGCCUCGCCCCUCUGCAACUCUUCCUCGAUGACGCGAGCUCGCCGGCGCCUCGUUCUGCAUCCCCUGCCUCCCCGAACUGAUGCUGGUGCUCUCCUGCCCGUGGUGUUGCUGCCAGCGAGCACGUCCCCGAGCACCUGCUGCCGACCACCUGCACGACUAGCUGCUGCCUGCCGGUGAUCUUGAAGUCACUUGUCUCCAUCAUACAACAUUGGCUGCUUCUGGCCGGCUUGCACGCUGGAGCAGUAGUGCGUGCUCACUGACCGACUUUCGCCAUGCUGGCUGUCUACAUCUUCAAGGAAGGUGAAUGAAGCAACUUGUGGCAGAUCUCGCUACUACCGUUGUUAUCAUGCUACUAGUAGGACCUCUACUUCGAGAAGGAAGUAGGGCUCGCCUGUUGGUUGGUUCUUGUGUGGCGCCCUCGCUGCCUGUGUUCAGCACCGACGAGUCUGAAACCAGAGAGGAUGCCGCUGUCCUGCUUCUUGGCCGUGGACGACCUCGAGCACGAGGUCUCCAGGAUGGACAUGCUCCCUGGCAUCACCAUCAAGUUCAGGUUCAAGGUAGAGAUCAUGGCCAUGGCCAUGGAUUUGGAUCACAACUGCUCUCUAAAGCCGCCCACCUCAAGGACUUAAUGCUCCGCCAAGAAAAUGCCUCCCUCCUCCAGAUCGAUUUGGAUUGUGUUGAAGAACAUCUGGUUGUUUUGGUUGGUUGUUAUGAGCUAGGCAAGCAGGCCUUUCGAUGUGGUGCUGAAAUUGCAGAGAAUUUGGGUACCUUAGGUGCUGACCUAGUCUUGGUGGUUGCGGGAGGUCUGGUUAUGACGGUAUGAUCGAUUUGGAGAAACUGGCUACAGCAGAAGAUAAUGAUGGUGAUAUGGAGAUUGUUUCUCCUGCUGGGAUCAGUGACUAUACAAACCGUGAUGGUGGUGAUGUUCACAUUUGUUUGCAGUAUGGUUACAUUGAGCCAAAACUGAGACUGGGAAGCGGAGCUGGAGGUGGUCAGAGGAGGUAGCGGUGGUGGCCUUCUUCCUCUACUUCUCGG
Long non-coding RNA from Lolium rigidum, 1059 nucleotides. RefSeq lists it as uncharacterized. The transcript is spliced from 6 exons. Lineage: Eukaryota; Viridiplantae; Streptophyta; Magnoliopsida; Poales; Poaceae. The record is from RefSeq and is a predicted model, not a curated record.